AAUUGAAUGGACGUUACAUAUUUCUCUCUUUGAUUUUUUCAGAAGUGGUUCACAAAGAAAAUUGAUAUUUUGAUUUAUUUGUAUAGUGAAAUUGUGACGACACAUUUAGAAAUUGUACGUUGAAAUAUUUAUGCAAAGCUAACUAUUUCAUGAAGGGCCUAUUAUUAAUUCAGUCUAAAAUUAGAGUUUUACCGUUUUUAACUCUCACAAUUUGUGCGCGACACUGUAGAUGGAAACACGAGAAACGAUUAUUGUGUAAAUAACUAAAUCUUCUAAUGUCAGAGGAGUUGGACACUUCAGUUAAAUUUUCUUGCUAAUAAAUUCACUUAUUGGAAAUUAGAACAGAACGAAAAAUAUUAAUAAUGUCAAAUUACA
This is a long non-coding RNA of Wyeomyia smithii (pitcher-plant mosquito), 375 nucleotides long. RefSeq lists it as uncharacterized. The record is from RefSeq and is a predicted model, not a curated record. Lineage: Eukaryota; Metazoa; Arthropoda; Insecta; Diptera; Culicidae. The transcript has 3 exons.